This 465-nucleotide ribosomal RNA is filed under the name Vreelandella stevensii. RNAcentral's name for it is "partial 16S ribosomal RNA". It matches the Rfam family "Bacterial small subunit ribosomal RNA", at positions 338 to 795 of the family's 1533-position model. The record is from RNAcentral. Lineage: Bacteria; Pseudomonadati; Pseudomonadota; Gammaproteobacteria; Oceanospirillales; Halomonadaceae.
CCUACGGGAGGCUGCAGUGGGGAAUAUUGGACAAUGGGGGGAACCCUGAUCCAGCCAUGCCGCGUGUGUGAAGAAGGCCCUCGGGUUGUAAAGCACUUUCAGUGAGGAAGAACGCCUGGUGGUUAAUACCCAUCAGGAAAGACAUCACUCACAGAAGAAGCACCGGCUAACUCCGUGCCAGCAGCCGCGGUAAUACGGAGGGUGCGAGCGUUAAUCGGAAUUACUGGGCGUAAAGCGCGCGUAGGUGGCUUGAUAAGCCGGUUGUGAAAGCCCCGGGCUCAACCUGGGAACGGCAUCCGGAACUGGCAAGCUAGAGUGCAGGAGAGGAAGGUAGAAUUCCCGGUGUAGCGGUGAAAUGCGUAGAGAUCGGGAGGAAUACCAGUGGCGAAGGCGGCCUUCUGGACUGACACUGACACUGAGGUGCGAAAGCGUGGGUAGCAAACAGGAUUAGAUACCCGUGUAGUC